GUCACUUUGCCGGAGUGGUUAACGGGAUCGCCUGCUAUUAAUCAAACGUUAGUACAGCGGUUGGGCUUUGCCCGCGAGUGUUCGAAUCGCUCAGGUGACG
Molecule: non-coding RNA, 100 nt
Organism: Crucibulum laeve
Lineage: Eukaryota; Fungi; Basidiomycota; Agaricomycetes; Agaricales; Nidulariaceae
Source: the annotation of a GenBank genome assembly